This is a long non-coding RNA of Oncorhynchus tshawytscha (Chinook salmon), 365 nucleotides long. The record is from Ensembl. NCBI's taxonomy places the organism in Eukaryota, Metazoa, Chordata, Actinopteri, Salmoniformes, Salmonidae.
CAAGGAGAGACACACAGCUCCACUAAAACCAUAGUUAAACAAGAUAAUAACAGAUCAGUCAAGGAGAGACACACAGCUCCACUAAAACCAUAGGUAAACAAGAUUACAACUGAUCAGUCAAGGAGAGACACACAGCUCCACUAAAACCAUAGUUAAACAAGAUUACAACUGAUCAGUCAAGGAGAGACACACAGCUCCACUAAAACCAUAGGUAAACAAGAUUACAACUGAUCAGUCAAGGAGAGACACACAGCUCCACUAAAACCAUAGUUAAACAAGAUUACAACUGAUCAGUCAAUAUGUCUAGUUAAAAAGCUAAUAACAGAUCAGUCAAUAUGGCUAGUUAAAAAGCUAAUAACAGAUCA